GACGAACGCUGGCGGCGUGCCUAAUACAUGCAAGUAGAACGCUGAAGGAGGAGCUUGCUUCUCUGGAUGAGUUGCGAACGGGUGAGUAACGCGUAGGUAACCUGCCUGGUAGCGGGGGAUAACUAUUGGAAACGAUAGCUAAUACCGCAUAAGAUUGACUAUUGCAUGAUAGUCAGUUAAAAGGUGCAAUUGCAUCACUACCAGAUGGACCUGCGUUGUAUUAGCUAGUUGGUGGGGUAACGGCUCACCAAGGCGACGAUACAUAGCCGACCUGAGAGGGUGAUCGGCCACACUGGGACUGAGACACGGCCCAGACUCCUACGGGAGGCAGCAGUAGGGAAUCUUCGGCAAUGGACGGAAGUCUGACCGAGCAACGCCGCGUGAGUGAAGAAGGUUUUCGGAUCGUAAAGCUCUGUUGUAAGAGAAGAACGAGUGUGAGAGUGGAAAGUUCACACUGUGACGGUAGCUUACCAGAAAGGGACGGCUAACUACGUG
RNAcentral lists this ribosomal RNA (495 nucleotides) under uncultured bacterium. RNAcentral's name for it is "partial 16S ribosomal RNA". It matches the Rfam family "Bacterial small subunit ribosomal RNA", at positions 28 to 507 of the family's 1533-position model. The record is from RNAcentral.